UGAUGAUCUUGCUAACAUUGAUGAUUGGCUUAUUGGUUUGACUUUAAGUUCACUACCACACUUUGUUGUGUCACCAUUUUCUGAUUCACUGUCUAUGCUCUGAGUUUUCUUCUCCAUUGAUGGCUUCUGUAUUAGAUCAUUCAGCUUCUGCUGUUAUAAUAAUAAUUAACUAUAUGUAUACCAUUUUAUUUGUAUAUUUAUAGAUAAUUAACAAAGAUGAGCUAUGGCUUGUAGGAGAUUGGCCCUUAUCAUUGUUUUUACUGUUAUGCUUUCUAUUACAUUUGCUGGAUUCUGGAAAAGGUGCAAUUCCCUUGGAGAAUUCCAAAAACACAUACAAGAUCAAAUCUGAACUGCAGUAUGACGUGAAAAGUUAUUGCAUGGAGUACUAUUUUGAAACCAAAACUGGUGCUAAUUU
This is a non-coding RNA of Arachis ipaensis, 415 nucleotides long. The record is from RefSeq and is a predicted model, not a curated record. Lineage: Eukaryota; Viridiplantae; Streptophyta; Magnoliopsida; Fabales; Fabaceae.